RNAcentral lists this ribosomal RNA (196 nucleotides) under Enterococcus faecium. Its description in RNAcentral is "partial 16S ribosomal RNA". It matches the Rfam family "Bacterial small subunit ribosomal RNA", at positions 1 to 181 of the family's 1533-position model. The record is from RNAcentral. Lineage: Bacteria; Bacillati; Bacillota; Bacilli; Lactobacillales; Enterococcaceae. RNAcentral also lists the same sequence under 1 other name.
UUUUAUGAGAGUUCGAUCCUGGCUCAGGACGAACGCUGGCGGCGUGCCUAAUACAUGCAAGUCGAACGCUUCUUUUUCCACCGGAGCUUGCUCCACCGGAAAAAGAGGAGUGGCGAACGGGUGAGUAACACGUGGGUAACCUGCCCAUCAGAAGGGGAUAACACUUGGAAACAGGUGCUAAUACCGUAUAACAAUC